Non-coding RNA from Gossypium raimondii (Peruvian cotton), 106 nucleotides. The record is from Rfam. Lineage: Eukaryota; Viridiplantae; Streptophyta; Magnoliopsida; Malvales; Malvaceae.
AAUCCAUGGUGCGGGCAUUUCUGAAUCAACGUUUUAAAACGUUCCUAGGCCUCAUGGAAACUUUUUCAUUCCAUUUUUCUGAAAACAACAAUCUCUCUUCUUAAUU